AAUACUUAGGAAUCUACCUAUUAAUGGGGGACAACAUUUCGAAAGGAAUGCUAAUACCGCAUACGCCCUACGGGGGAAAGCAGGGGAUCUUCGGACCUUGCGUUAAUAGAUGAGCCUAAGUCGGAUUAGCUAGUUGGUGGGGUAAAGGCCUACCAAGGCGACGAUCUAUAGCGGGUCUGAGAGGAUGAUCCGCCACACUGGGACUGAGACACGGCCCAGACUCCUACGGGAGGCAGCAGUGGGGAAUAUUGGACAAUGGGGGGAACCCUGAUCCAGCCAUGCCGCGUGUGUGAAGAAGGCCUUUUGGUUGUAAAGCACUUUAAGCGAGGAGGAGGCUACUCUAGUUAAUACCUAGAGCUAGUGGACGUUACUCGCAGAAUAAGCACCGGCUAACUCUGUGCCAGCAGCCGCGGUAAUACAGAGGGUGCGAGCGUUAAUCGGAUUUACUGGGCGUAAAGCGUGCGUAGGUGGCCAAUUAAGUCAAAUGUGAAAUCCCCGAGCUUAACUUGGGAAUUGCAUUCGAUACUGGUUGGCUAGAGUAUGGGAGAGGAUGGUAGAAUUCCAGGUGUAGCGGUGGAAUGCGUAGAGAUCUGGAGG
RNAcentral lists this ribosomal RNA (597 nucleotides) under uncultured bacterium. RNAcentral describes it as "bacterial SSU rRNA". It matches the Rfam family "Bacterial small subunit ribosomal RNA", at positions 112 to 704 of the family's 1533-position model. The record is from RNAcentral.